RNAcentral lists this ribosomal RNA (239 nucleotides) under uncultured bacterium. Its description in RNAcentral is "partial 16S ribosomal RNA". It matches the Rfam family "Bacterial small subunit ribosomal RNA", at positions 67 to 334 of the family's 1533-position model. The record is from RNAcentral.
CGCUCUCCUUGGAGAGAGUGGCGCACGGGUGAGUAACACGUGGGAAACUACCUUUUGGUACGGAAUAAUAUUUGGAAACGAAUACUAAUACCGUAUGGUCCCUCCGGGGUAAAGAUUUAUCGCCAAAAGAUGUGCCCGCGCCCAAUUAGCUAGAUGGUAAGGUAACGGCUUACCAUGGCGACGAUUGGUAGCUGGUCUGAGAGGAUGAUCAGCCACACUGGAACUGAGACACGGUCCAG